UCCAGGGUAGCCUAGUGGACAUGGCACCUGCCCGGUAAGCAGAAGGUUGUGGGUUCGAUUCCCAUCCCUGGAC
Molecule: non-coding RNA, 73 nt
Organism: Cordylochernes scorpioides
Lineage: Eukaryota; Metazoa; Arthropoda; Arachnida; Pseudoscorpiones; Chernetidae
Source: the annotation of a GenBank genome assembly